UGCAUAGCCCUUGUCAUAUUGUGCCUUG
Molecule: non-coding RNA, 28 nt
Filed under: Mus musculus (house mouse)
Lineage: Eukaryota; Metazoa; Chordata; Mammalia; Rodentia; Muridae
Source: RNAcentral